AACGGGAACCUACUAACGGAGACUUCGGUUGAAGAUAGUAGAAUUCAGUGGCGGAAUGGGUCGAGUAACGCGUGGGUAACCUACACAAGAAUUGGAUAACAGCGAGAAAUUGUUGCUAAUACAAUAUAAGCUUACGUUGUCGCAUGACAGAGUGAGAAAAGAUUUAUCGCUUGUAGAUGGACCCGCGUUUGAUUAGCUAGUUGUGGGGUAGAGGGCCUACCAAAGCGACGAUCAAUAGCCGGCCUGAGAGGGUGACCGGCCACAUUGGGACUGAGACACGGCCCAAACUCCUACGGGAGGCAGCAGUGGGAAUAUUGCACAAUGGGGGGAACCCUGAUGCAAGCAACGCCGCGUGAGUGAAGAAGUAUUUCGGUAUGUAAAGCUCUAUCGAUAGGGAAUAAGAUGAAGGUACCUAAGUAAGAAGCCCCGGCUAACUACGUGCCAGCAGCAGC
RNAcentral lists this ribosomal RNA (452 nucleotides) under uncultured bacterium. Its description in RNAcentral is "bacterial SSU rRNA". It matches the Rfam family "Bacterial small subunit ribosomal RNA", at positions 65 to 518 of the family's 1533-position model. The record is from RNAcentral.